RNAcentral lists this ribosomal RNA (468 nucleotides) under uncultured bacterium. RNAcentral's name for it is "partial 16S ribosomal RNA". It matches the Rfam family "Bacterial small subunit ribosomal RNA", at positions 28 to 507 of the family's 1533-position model. The record is from RNAcentral.
GACGAACGCUGGCGGCGUGCUUAACACAUGCAAGUCGAACGGAAAGGCCCUGCUCUUGUGGGGUGCUCGAGUGGCGAACGGGUGAGUAACACGUGAGUAACCUGCCCUUGACUUUGGGAUAACUUCAGGUAACUGGGGCUAAUACCGGAUAGGAGCUCCUGCUGCAUGGUGGGGGUUGGAAAGUUUCGGCGGUUGGGGAUGGACUCGCGGCUUAUCAGCUUGUUGGUGGGGUAGUGGCUUACCAAGGCUUUGACGGGUAGCCGGCCUGAGAGGGUGACCGGACACAUUGGGACUGAGAUACGGCCCAGACUCCUACGGGAGGCAGCAGUGGGGAAUAUUGCACAAUGGGCGGAAGCCUGAUGCAGCAACGCCGCGUGCGGGAUGACGGCCUUCGGGUUGUAAACCGCUUUCGCCUGUGACGAAGCGUGAGUGACGGUAAUGGGUAAAGAAGCACCGGCUAACUACGUG